Molecule: ribozyme, 76 nt
Filed under: unclassified sequences
Description: pistol ribozyme
Rfam family: Pistol ribozyme
Source: RNAcentral
ACAGGUCUGAACCUGUAUAAAUAGUGUAUUAAGUUCAGAGCGGUGCGAAAGUGUUUAAACACUUUUGUGCGUUACA